This 73-nucleotide transfer RNA is filed under the name Aquarana catesbeiana (American bullfrog). Its description in RNAcentral is "Lithobates catesbeianus (American bullfrog) tRNA-Leu". It matches the Rfam family "tRNA". From Rfam's summary of the family: Transfer RNA (tRNA) molecules are approximately 80 nucleotides in length. Their secondary structure includes four short double-helical elements and three loops (D, anti-codon, and T loops). Further hydrogen bonds mediate the characteristic L-shaped molecular structure. tRNAs have two regions of fundamental functional importance: the anti-codon, which is responsible for specific mRNA codon recognition, and the 3' end, to which the tRNAs corresponding amino acid is attached (by aminoacyl-tRNA synthetases). tRNAs cope with the degeneracy of the genetic code in two manners: having more than one tRNA (with a specific anti-codon) for a particular amino acid; and 'wobble' base-pairing, i.e. permitting non-standard base-pairing at the 3rd anti-codon position. The record is from RNAcentral. Lineage: Eukaryota; Metazoa; Chordata; Amphibia; Anura; Ranidae.
GUUAGUAUGGCAGAGCUUGGUUAUGCAAAAGAUCUAAGCCCUUUAAACCGGGCUUCAAAUCCCCUUACUAACU